AUCGGAUGUGCCCAGAUGGGAUUAGCUUGUUGGUGGGGUAACGGCUCACCAAGGCGACGAUCCCUAGCUGGUCUGAGAGGAUGACCAGCCACACUGGAACUGAGACACGGUCCAGACUCCUACGGGAGGCAGCAGUGGGGAAUAUUGCACAAUGGGCGCAAGCCUGAUGCAGCCAUGCCGCGUGUAUGAAGAAGGCCUUCGGGUUGUAAAGUACUUUCAGCGGGGAGGAAGGGAGUAAAGUUAAUACCUUUGCUCAUUGACGUUACCCGCAGAAGAAGCACCGGCUAACUCCGUGCCAGCAGCCGCGGUAAUACGGAGGGUGCAAGCGUUAAUCGGAAUUACUGGGCGUAAAGCGCACGCAGGCGGUUUGUUAAGUCAGAUGUGAAUCCCCGGGCUCAACCUGGGAACUGCAUCUGAUACUGGCAAGCUUGAGUCUCGUAGAGGGGGGUAGAAUUCCAGGUGUAGCGGUGAAAUGCGUAGAGAUCUGGAGGAAUA
This 495-nucleotide ribosomal RNA is filed under the name uncultured Pseudomonadota bacterium. RNAcentral's name for it is "bacterial SSU rRNA". It matches the Rfam family "Bacterial small subunit ribosomal RNA", at positions 220 to 708 of the family's 1533-position model. The record is from RNAcentral. Lineage: Bacteria; Pseudomonadati; Pseudomonadota.